GACGAACGCUGGCGGCGUGCUUAACACAUGCAAGUCGAACGGAAAGGCCCUGCUUUUGUGGGGUGCUCGAGUGGCGAACGGGUGAGUAACACGUGAGUAACCUGCCCUUGACUUUGGGAUAACUUCAGGAAACUGGGGCUAAUACCGGAUAGGAGCUCCUGCUGCAUGGUGUGGGUUGGAAAGUUUCGGCGGUUGGGGAUGUACUCGCGGCUUAUCAGCUUGUUGGUGGGGUAGUGGCUUACCAAGGCUUUGACGGGUAGCCGGCCUGAGAGGGUGACCGGCCACAUUGGGACUGAGAUACGGCCCAGACUCCUACGGGAGGCAGCAGUGGGGAAUAUUGCACAAUGGGCGGAAGCCUGAUGCAGCAACGCCGCGUGCGGGAUGACGGCCUUCGGGUUGUAAACCGCUUUCGCCUGUGACGAAGCGUGAGUGACGGUAAUGGGUAAAGAAGCACCGGCUAACUACGUG
RNAcentral lists this ribosomal RNA (468 nucleotides) under uncultured bacterium. Its description in RNAcentral is "partial 16S ribosomal RNA". It matches the Rfam family "Bacterial small subunit ribosomal RNA", at positions 28 to 507 of the family's 1533-position model. The record is from RNAcentral.